UACGUAGGGUGCGAGCGUUAAUCGGAAUUACUGGGCGUAAAGCGUGCGCAGGCGGUUUUGUAAGCCAGAUGUGAAAUCCCCGGGCUCAACCUGGGAAUGGCAUUUGGGACUGCAAGGCUUGAGUGCGGCAGAGGAGACUGGAAUUCCUGGUGUAGCAGUGAAAUGCGUGGAUAUCAGGAGGAAUACCGAUGGCGAAGGCAGGUCUCUGGGCUGACACUGACGCUCAUGCACGAAAGCGUGGGGAGCAAACAGG
Molecule: ribosomal RNA, 253 nt
Filed under: uncultured bacterium
Lineage: Bacteria
Description: partial 16S ribosomal RNA
Rfam family: Bacterial small subunit ribosomal RNA
Source: RNAcentral